AACGAACGCUGGCGGCAGGCUUAACACAUGCAAGUCGAGCGCCCCGCAAGGGGAGCGGCAGACGGGUGAGUAACGCGUGGGAUCGUACCUUUUGGUUCGGAACAACUCCGGGAAACUGGAGCUAAUACCGGAUAAGCCCUAACGGGGAAAGAUUUAUCGCCGAAAGAUCGGCCCGCGUCUGAUUAGCUAGUUGGUGAGGUAACGGCUCACCAAGGCGACGAUCAGUAGCUGGUCUGAGAGGAUGAUCAGCCACACUGGGACUGAGACACGGCCCAGACUCCUACGGGAGGCAGCAGUGGGGAAUAUUGGACAAUGGGCGCAAGCCUGAUCCAGCCAUGCCGCGUGAGUGAUGAAGGCCUUAGGGUUGUAAAGCUCUUUUGUCCGGGAAGAUAAUGACUGUACCGGAAGAAUAAGCCCCGGCUAACUUCGUG
This 431-nucleotide ribosomal RNA is filed under the name uncultured bacterium. Its description in RNAcentral is "partial 16S ribosomal RNA". It matches the Rfam family "Bacterial small subunit ribosomal RNA", at positions 29 to 507 of the family's 1533-position model. The record is from RNAcentral.